RNAcentral lists this ribosomal RNA (560 nucleotides) under uncultured diatom. RNAcentral's name for it is "bacterial SSU rRNA". It matches the Rfam family "Eukaryotic small subunit ribosomal RNA", at positions 494 to 1055 of the family's 1831-position model. Lineage: Eukaryota; Bacillariophyta. The record is from RNAcentral.
AUCUUUGUUCUGCAUUUGGGAUGAGUCGUAGUUAAAUCUCACGACGAUUAUCGAUUGGAGGGCAAGUCUGGUGCCAGCAGCCGCGGUAAUUCCAGCUUCAAGAGCGUAUAUUAAAGUUGCUGCAGUUAAAAAGCUCGUAGUUGGAUUUGUGGUGUGUCCAGUCGGCCUUUGCUCUUUGAGUGAUUGUGCUGUACUGGUCUGCCAUGUUUGGGUGGAAUCUGUGUGGCAUUAGGUUGUCGUGCAGGGGAUGCCCAUCGUUUACUGUGAAAAAAUUAGAGUGUUCAAAGCAGGCUUAUGCCGUUGAAUAUAUUAGCAUGGAAUAAUGAUAUAGGACCUUGGUACUAUUUUGUUGGUUUGCGCACUAAGGUAAUGAUUAAGAGGGACAGUUGGGGGUACUCGUAUUUCAUUGUCAGAGGUGAAAUUCUUGGAUUUCUGAAAGACGAACUACUGCGAAAGCAUUUACCAAGGAUGUUUUCAUUAAUCAAGAACGAAAGUUAGGGGAUCGAAGAUGAUUAGAUACCAUCGUAGUCUUAACCAUAAACUACGCCGACUCAGGAUUG